Molecule: ribosomal RNA, 491 nt
Filed under: uncultured bacterium
Lineage: Bacteria
Description: partial 16S ribosomal RNA
Rfam family: Bacterial small subunit ribosomal RNA
Source: RNAcentral
AGUGAACGCUGGCGGUAGGCCUAACACAUGCAAGUCGAACGGCAGCACAGUAAGAGCUUGCUCUUACGGGUGGCGAGUGGCGGACGGGUGAGGAAUACAUCGGUAUCUACUUUUUCGUGGGGGAUAACGUAGGGAAACUUACGCUAAUACCGCAUACGACCUACGGGUGAAAGCAGGGGAUCUUCGGACCUUGCGCGAUUGAAUGAGCCGAUGUCGGAUUAGCUAGUUGGCGGGGUAAAGGCCCACCAAGGCGACGAUCCGUAGCUGGUCUGAGAGGAUGAGCAGCCACAAGUGAACAGAGAGACGGGACAGGCUCCGACGGGAGGCAGCAGUGGGGAGUGUUGGACAAUGGGCGCAAGCCUGAUCCAGCCAUAUCGCGGGAAUGAAGAAGGCCGGCGGGUUAUCAAGCCGUUUUGUUGGGAAAGAGAAGCAGCAGGUCGAUACCCCGCUGUCCUGACGGUACCCAAAGAAUAAGCACCGGCUAACUUCGU